This 269-nucleotide ribosomal RNA is filed under the name uncultured prokaryote. RNAcentral describes it as "partial 16S ribosomal RNA". It matches the Rfam family "Bacterial small subunit ribosomal RNA", at positions 524 to 792 of the family's 1533-position model. The record is from RNAcentral.
UACGUAGGUGGCAAGCGUUGUCCGGAUUUAUUGGGCGUAAAGGGAGCGCAGGCGGUGACUUAAGUCUGAUGUGAAAGCCCACGGCUCAACCGUGGAAGGUCAUUGGAAACUGGGUCACUUGAAUAUAGAAGAGGAAAGUGGAAUUCCAUGUGUAGCGGUGAAAUGCGUAGAUAUUAGGAAGAACACCAGUGGCGAAGGCGAUUCUCUGGACUGUAACUGACGCUGAGGCUCGAAAGCGUGGGGAGCAAACAGGAUUAGAUACCCGUGUA